This 541-nucleotide ribosomal RNA is filed under the name uncultured delta proteobacterium. Its description in RNAcentral is "bacterial SSU rRNA". It matches the Rfam family "Bacterial small subunit ribosomal RNA", at positions 353 to 896 of the family's 1533-position model. The record is from RNAcentral. Lineage: Bacteria; Deltaproteobacteria.
AGUGAGGAAUUUUGCGCAAUGGGGGAAACCCUGACGCAGCAACGCCGCGUGAAGGAUGAAGGCCUUUGGGUCGUAAACUUCUGUCAGAGGGGAAGAAAUGCCCGCAAGGGAGCUGACGGUACCCUCAAAGGAAGCACCGGCUAACUCCGUGCCAGCAGCCGCGGUAAUACGGAGGGUGCAAGCGUUGUUCGGAAUUAUUGGGCGUAAAGAGCAUGUAGGCGGUCUGUUAAGUCUGGUGUGAAAGCCCGGGGCUCAACCCCGGAAGUGCAUUGGAUACUGGCCGACUUGAGUAUGGGAGAGGAAGGCGGAAUUCCGAGUGUAGGAGUGAAAUCCGUAGAUAUUCGGAGGAACACCAGUGGCGAAGGCGGCCUUCUGGACCAAUACUGACGCUGAGAUGCGAAAGCGUGGGGAGCGAACAGGAUUAGAUACCCUGGUAGUCCACGCCGUAAACGAUGGGUACUAGGUGUUGCGGGUAACCACUCCUGCAGUGCCGCAGCUAACGCAUUAAGUACCCCGCCUGGGGAGUACGGCCGCAAGGCUA